AUACGGAGGGUGCGAGCGUUACUCGGAGUCACUGGGCGUAAAGCGUCCGUAGGCGGUCGGGUAAGUCGUGUGUGAAAGCCCCGGGCUCAACCUGGGAAGUGCACCCGAUACUGCUCGACUCGAGUGCGGGGGAGGAUGGCGGAAUUCCCGGUGUAGCGGUGUAAUGCGUAGAGAUCGGGAGGAACACCAGUGGCGAAGGCGGCCAUCUGGCCCGCAACUGACGCUGAGGGACGAAAGCGUGGGGAGCAAACAGGAUUAGAAACCCUUGUAGUCC
RNAcentral lists this ribosomal RNA (274 nucleotides) under uncultured bacterium. RNAcentral describes it as "partial 16S ribosomal RNA". It matches the Rfam family "Bacterial small subunit ribosomal RNA", at positions 523 to 796 of the family's 1533-position model. The record is from RNAcentral.